This 3843-nucleotide long non-coding RNA is filed under the name Heterocephalus glaber (naked mole-rat). RNAcentral's name for it is "lncRNA (ENSHGLG00100040192.1)". The record is from RNAcentral. Lineage: Eukaryota; Metazoa; Chordata; Mammalia; Rodentia; Bathyergidae.
CGUGUUUUAAAAGCCAUACACAGGGGCUGGGGAUUUAACUCAGUGGUUCCAGCACCUGCCUCGCAAGUGCAAGGUCCCGAGUUCAAUCCCCAGUACAAAAAAAAAAAAAAAGCCAUACACAGAAUGGUUCUGGUGAUCCGGUUGGACCCAAUCAGCAGUCCCAACAUCCACCUGCAUGGCCACAUCCUGGGCUCCUCACUCCCCUUCACCCCAUGUAAAUCAUCAAUCUAUAAACCUCUAAUUUUACUUCUGAAAUACUGUCAAAUCAUCCAUUCCUUCCAUCCACUUGCCCAAGUGAAGCCCCUCCCCAUCUUUGCCAACAUUACUAGAAUAGCCAGAUCCAAAUAGACUAGCAUAUUAAAAAGCCAAACCUGAUCACAUUGCUCAUCUCAUUGAAAUCCUUCUCUGGCUUCUGAUGCUGACCAGGACCCUGAGCUCCAUAGCAUAGAUUCUAAUGGUCUCUGGGCCCUGGGCCCUCCUUGUCUAAUUUGCCUUAGUCCCAGCCACUUCCAUUCUGGAACCUUCAGCAGAGCCCAAUCCAAAUCCCCGAUCCCCAUCCCCAAUCAGGCUAUUUCUGCUUCAGGCUCAAGCUGGUCGUUGGCCUAGAAUUCCCUUUCCUAUGUGCCCUUAAAUCCGUUGUUCAGGUACCACUUCCUCUGAGAAGUCUUCCUGGAUUCCCUCCAUCUCCUCUGUUAUUUUGGACUGUUCUAUGGGCUUCGCCUCUCCCCAUCAUGACUCCAAAGAGCCAGGACAAUUCAUCUGUGUGUCCCAGGGUCUGGUACACUGCAGUAAAUGUUUUUGGAAGAGAAGCAAAUGGAAAAUGAAAUGCUUGAGAUGAGACAACUGAAAAAUCUCUAAUCCUAAGAAAGAAAACUGGAGAAACAUUGACGAUAAAGAGCAAAAAAGAAAACUGUAACCAAAAUUAAUCACUUGAGAAGUUAUCUGAAGAAGCCGUACACUAUCAGAGUGGCAAUACUGUCACCCAAUGGCUGGCUCCCUGCCUUGGAGGGUCGAGUACCGAUUUGUGGAGAGACCUAUGCCAUACUUUUAGUGGUAAAUUAGUAAUCUCUCUUCUGACUGGGGCUAGACUCUAGUAACCUCUCAAGAGUAUUCAAGGUCCUGGAUUUCAAGUCCUAGCAUGGCUUGGGUUUUGUCCCCACCCUGACCACCCACGGCCCUACACAAAGUGGGCAGAUUAGAUUUCUUCUUGCCAUGUCAUGGAUGUCAGCACGAGCUGGGUAGAGGCAGGGGGGCCAUGGCCAGAAGCAUCAUCAAGUAAAGAUGAGGUCAUGCUGGAGUCAGGUGCACCCUAAAUCUAACAGGCGGUAUUAGAAGAGGAGAGGACCCCAACUGUAGAAGCCAUACAAAGGCAGAGGCAAGGAUUGGAAUCUGCCCAAGCCAAGGAAUGGCCAAGGCCACCAAAAGCAGAAAGAUACCAUAGAAAGACCCACCCUAGAACCCUGGAGCACGACCGAUGGCACCAUGAAGAAACGGAGAGAAGUAUCCUUUCUAAAUGGUGGUGUUUCUCAGACAUUCUGCUAAGAUGGCAGGCCACGGGGUAGGCAGUGCCAGGAGGGGGUGCCACGUUAAAAUGUCACAGAGUCACAGAGAGGUCUUCUACACAAGGACUGCUUGCUGGCUGUGAGAUGCUGCAAGAAAGGCAGGACAUAGUUUGUAAUUUUUUUUUUUGCUUUAGUAAUUUUGUAUUUAUUUAAUACAGUACCCCUCUCCCACCAAUGCUUGUGAAGCAGGACUUAAAGAAAAAUGAAUUCUUCCCAACCUUGGGCUUUUCCCCCCUCAGAUCCGCCCCACCCCUUGUAGCUGUAACUCCUUGUUCCUGGUACAGAUAAAAUUGACAACUGUGUCUUGUAAACAAAGUUUAUGACACCCUGUUCUCACAUGAUUCAUAAGACACUGUCUUCUUUCAAGGAUAAGUUACAAGACUGUCUGCCCUUGUCUUGUUCCUUGUUACGUUAAACUCACUUGCUACAUCACUAGAAAGACAAUCCCCUUCGAUCAAAUGGAUGAAAGCUGGAACUUUUCUUUGUUCGUCACACCCCCUUUGGACAAGAGUCCGUUGAGCUGGUGUUCACCUAAAACCUGAAAUAAAUCCUGGUUCCUAGUGGUCUCCCCUGUCUCUCGGAGCCCUGCGGCAGCUGGAGAUGCCAACCUCAGAACCUCAGUCACGGGGGCUGCCUCCCCUGCUUAGGGUUGGGUGAGCGCACCCUAGGGGCUCAUCCAGCCUCCAGAGCCCCGGGCUGUCAGCUGGACUCCUGGGUCUGGGGACACUGGGUCAGAGCCUCAGGGCUGCCACCUCAGCCACCCUGUGCCCAGGCCACAGGACCCUUCCACUCCACAAGGGGCGUGGCCCCAGGGAUCUCCCUGACACGCGCACACUCACAUUCAUGCCACACGUUUGCACCAUAGUCACGCUCAUACUCACUUUUCAUGCACUAAUUUUCUCUCACACGCACGCCCUCAGAGCCCUCGCGCCCACUCUUACACUCCUCCCAGACCUUCCCAUCAGUCUGCUGCCUCCUGCCAUGCCCCACCCCUCUCCUGCCAGGGACCUUGAUCUCGGGGCUCUUUGCCCUCAUCCGCCUCUUCUCCGCACCCUCCUCAGUGUCCUCCUGGACUGACACCCCUUCAUACGACCCUGUGGCACCAAGCAGUAGUAUAUCUUGGUCACUGCUCCUUGCACUAGUUAACAGCAAGCGAGGAAUGAUCAAAGAAUCAAAUUUGCAUAAUUAAGAUGAUGAAUGAUGACCCUGGGGGGUCUGGGACCUGUCUAAAGCUAUGGAGACUGGGAACUGGCUGUGGGAAGAACGAGGAAGAGAGUUCCACAGGAGGGGCAGCAUGGGCAGAGGACUCAAGGCAGGAGUGAGCCCAGCAGUGGCAUCAGAAGGGGUGCUGAGCAGAGUGCAGAGCAGGAGGCCAGACUGACCGUACAUGAAGCCAAGGCCAGGACCUGUGCAUGGAGCCAAGUGGGUAAGGCAGCUCUGUCUCUGUAGGUUAUCCUGCUCCAUGGGUUUCUCCAGAAUCCUCCCCUAAUGUGUAGAGAGCUCAUACUUCAUGAUUGCCAAUGUGAUUUGGGUUUAUCUUAAUGUAACCUCCAGGCCCCGUGACCUCAUAACUGAAUUUACACACUAGAAGUUUCCUGAAUACUGUGAAUUGUCAUAUGGCCUAACAAGGGUGUUUGGGAACCGCCCCCUUAGGAGAGGUCGAGAAAAGGUAACUUGAAAACACACUACACCUCCCACAUUGCUGGAGGGAAUGUAAUGUGGACCACCACUGUGGAAACGCAGAGGUUCCUCAAAAUGCUAAACACAAAACUACCAUAGAUAGGCCCAACUGAAAGCAGGGGAAAAGCAGACAUUUGCACCUGUAUUCACAGAAAUGUUCGAAAUACUGUAGCUUAUGGUGGAAGAAACACAGGUGCCCACUGUUGGAUAAACACAUGAGGCAUCAUGCAGUGGAAUAGUACCCAGGGCAGGACGGACACAGGCUACAGUGCAAAUGAACCUUGAGUACAGGCUGCUAAGUGAAGUAAGCUCCACACAAAAGACCACCUACUGUAUGAUUCCACUUACCUCACCUAUCUAGAGCUGGCAAAUCUAUAGGGCAGAAAAUAGAUUGUCCGUCACCAGGGAGGGGACAUCGGGAGCCAAGGGUUAAUGGUUUUAGUUUCUGUUUGAGGGGGGGUGAAAAAGUUUUGGAAGUAGUAGUGCUUGUUAAAAUGCUAUAAAUGUAACAUGCCACUGAAUUAUAUAAUUAAUGAUUAAAAUGGCAGAUUUUAUAAGUAUGGUACUAGAGUUGGUUUUUUUUUAAUGAAUUGUAAUGGAG